Molecule: unclassified non-coding RNA, 240 nt
Filed under: soil metagenome
Description: partial contains 5.8S ribosomal RNA, internal transcribed spacer 2, and large subunit ribosomal RNA
Source: RNAcentral
AACUGAUACUACCUGCGGGAACCUGCGGAGGGAUCAUUACAGGACUCGCAAGACUCCUACAACCCUGUGAACUUAACUAUAAGCACGUUGCUUCGGCGGGUGUCUCGGCGAGGGUUCUCCCUCCCCGGGGCGCUAAGCCCGCCGGCAGCCUACUAUACUCUGUCUCUUUGCGUUGGCAUCUCGAGUACAAACAAACAAGUUAAAACUUUCAACAACGGAUCUCUAGAUCGGAAGAGCACA